GGGGGUGUGAGAGCACGGGCCCCCCACAAUGGGACUGAAACACGGGCCAUACUCCUACGGGAGGCAGCAGCAGGGAAUAUUGCACAAUAGGCGAAAGCCUGAUGCAGCGACGCCGCGUGAGUGAAGAAGGCCUUCGGGUCGUAAAGCUCUUUUGUAGGGGAAGAGGAAGGACGGUACCCUAAGAAGAAGCGUCGGCUAACUACGUGCCAGCAGCCGCGGUAAGACGUAGGACGCGAGCGUUAUCCGGAAUUACUGGGCGUAAAGGGCCAGCAGGCGGCUUGGUAAGUUGUGCGUGAAAGCCUCGUGCUCAACGCGAGGAAGCCGGACAAUACUGUCAAGCUAGAGGGCAUCAGAGGGGAGUGGAAUUCCCGGAGUAGCGGUAAAAUGCGCAGAUAUCGGGAGGAACACCGAUGGCGAAGGCAGCUCCCUGGGAUGCACCUGACGCUAAGAGGCGAAAGCUAGGGGAGCGAACAGGAUUAGAGACCCUGGUAGUCCUAGCUGUAAACGCUGGGUGCUAGGUGUGGGACGUAGAAGUUCCGUGCCGGAGCAAACGCGAUAAGCACCCCGCCUGGGAAUUACGGUCGCAAGGCUAAAACUCAAACGAAUUGACGGGGCCCCGCACAAGCAGCGGAGCGUGUGGUUCAAUUCGAUGCUACACGAAGAACCUUACCUGGGUUUGACAUGUACGUGGUACGAAGGCGAAAGCCUAAGGACCCUUCGGGGAGCGUACACAGGUGCUGCAUGGCUGUCGUCAGCUCGUGCCGUGAGGUGUCGGGUUAAGUCCCGUAACGAGCGCAACCCUUGCCCUUAGUUACAAGUGUCUAAGGGGACUGCCGGCGGGAAGCCGGAGGAAGGUGGGGAUGACGUCAAGUCAGCAUGGCCCUUAUGUCCAGGGCUACACACACGCUACAAUGGUCAGUACAAAGGGUAGCGAAGUCGCGAGGCGGAGCGAAUCUCAACAAAGCUGAUCGUAGUUCGGAUUGCAGGCUGCAACCCGCCUGCAUGAAGCUGGAGUUGCUAGUAACCGCGCGUCAGCCAUAGUGCGGUGAAUACGUACCCGGGGCUUGUACACACCGCCCGUCACGUCAUGGGAGUCGGUAACGCAUGAAGCCGGUAGUCUGGCCCGCAAGGGGGGACGCUGUCGAAGGCGGGAC
Molecule: ribosomal RNA, 1154 nt
Filed under: uncultured organism
Description: bacterial SSU rRNA
Rfam family: Bacterial small subunit ribosomal RNA
Source: RNAcentral